AACGAACGCUGGCGGCGUGCCUAACACAUGCAAGUUGAACGGAGCCAUUUUGAAGUAGCAAUACGGAGAAAUGGUUUAGUGGCGGACGGGUGAGUAACACGUAGGUAACCUACCCUUAAGCGGGGGACAACUCAGGGAAACUUGCGCUAAUACCGCAUAAGACCACGGGCUGAGAUGCCAGUGGGAAAAGGAGCAAUCCACUUAAGGAUGGGCCUGCGGCCUAUCAGGUAGUUGGUGAGGUAACGGCCCACCAAGCCAGAGACGGGUAGCCGGACUGAGAGGUUGAACGGUCACACUGGAACUGAGAUACGGUCCAGACUCCUACGGGAGGCAGCAGUGGGGAAUAUUGCACAAU
This 355-nucleotide ribosomal RNA is filed under the name uncultured bacterium. RNAcentral describes it as "bacterial SSU rRNA". It matches the Rfam family "Bacterial small subunit ribosomal RNA", at positions 29 to 372 of the family's 1533-position model. The record is from RNAcentral.